UUGUAAGUACUUUUUCCAUAUGGAUCCCAAAUAUUCAUAUGUACAAGUUCAAAAGGGGAUACAGUUUUCUCAGUACUAAUGGGGAAAGGGGAUCUAGUCUGACUUGAUAAAGGACAUAUAUAUAUAGUACAAGACAGAGAUCUUUUAUGAGACAAAUGACCCUUCAAAGAAGAAUUUUUUUGCAAUACUGCUAUUGGUGCAUGACCAAGUCAUUGAUGCCAAAUAGAACAAAGAUCUGCAUGAUUGGAAGAGAAACAUUGUUGUGAGUUAGGUGCAGUUGAAUGCAGCACCUACUGAUCUUAGGUGCAGUUGAUUAGGCCCCUAUCCAAUUCUUGUACAAGAAUUUUCUGCAUGUUCGUAAAAGGUCCUGCGUUCAGCAAGCUAAUUUUAUAUGCGACUUUUUUGUCGAGCAGCUUCUCAGCAUGUAACUAAUCAAACCUUUUUGAACAGUUAAGCUUAAGCUGAUCUUAUUAUGAAUUUUGUUCACUGAAUAUUCAAGAUUAGUCCAAACAUUUUUUUGCAAAAACUGUGGUGUAUCAUUACUACGGACAUGCUUUAUUUUGCUGAAUGAAAAUGACCAAAGUUUAAUGUCACAAUUGUUUGUUUUAUUGUUUAUUCUUUCUUAGCUAGCGUUUGGCCAUAGAUUCCCAAAUUUGUUUUGAAAAAUUUGAGUUGGGUGAAAUUUUGUUUGAAGAUGAAAAUGUGUUUGGACAUACGUUUUCAACACAUAUUUCCCAAAUUUAUUUUGGAAAAACAUGUAUAUUAUUAGUGGUUGUGAAUAUUUUGGCCAAAAACCAGCUAUUGAGCUGGAUAUAUGGCCAAACAUGUGUUUGCCAAAUAAAACCCAAGUUUAUUUUGGCAAAAUCUAUGGUCAAACAUGUGUUUGCCUAAUAAAACCCAAGUUUAUUUUGGCAAAAUCUAUAACCAAACGGGUCCUUAGAAAGUUUAUUUAUUUGUCGUUCCAUACUCGUAUUUAUCUGACGUGAUUUCUGAUUGUAAAAACCUCUUAAAAAGUUUUCAGUUUCUGUCUGUUGUUCGAAGGUCUGCGAAUCAGGUUGCUCAUGCAUUAGCACGAGUGGCUGAUUCUAUGUCAGGCUCGAUGGAGUGGAAUGCUAGCCCUCCAUCCUUUAUUGUAGAUGCUUUAAAUUUUGAUUUGAAUAAUUAAGAUGAUCGUUGUUUCAAAAAAAAAAAACUUGAAAAAAUAUGACACAGUGUCUAUUUUAUUGUUACCGUCCAAAAAUAGUACUUCCUUUUUAGAAGAAAGUAUAACAUUACUAAAUAUAGAUGUUUGCACAUUAACAAUUUACUAAAUGUAAAGUGUAAACGUAUGUACAAAAGAAAACUAGUAACAAAGAAAAUUGUGUAUCAUCUUUCCUUUGUGUAUUUGGUAUGAGAAAAAUAUCUUUACAAAAAUACUUUUGAGAAAAUAAGUAGUAUGUUGGUUGUUUGAAAAUACUUUCUAAGGAAAACAUUAGCUAUAACAAUUUCGACAAUGGACAUACUGAAAUCAACAAUUGAAUUCACAUUAUCGAUUAAUUUAUAGAGCCAUUUUACUCAUAAAUAGAAGAAUAUUAUUCUUCUGGAGCAUCUUUCAUUUUACUUGGAUUUCAAGGUCAUAGCUCCAGUUAUACAAGUUCCUUUAACACUACUCAAUUCACUUGUAAAGCCAACCUAAGAUGGUAAAAGAGAUGCAAUGAUCUACAACCAUUUUGUCCAAACAAGCUUUGCUUGUGCGCAUCUUGACUAAAUAAUUACCAGCUGCUUGCCACAUCCCUUUUUUAUCCCUCCAAAAGAUAAUGUGUGUUAUGGAUUGUGGGUUAAAGAGUUUUUCCAAUUAAAGUGACAAACUUGAGUAGGAAUUAUUUUAUUUACAGAGUCGCCACUUGGAAUUGAUUUUUAGGUGUUCCAAGUCACUUUUUAUUUGAAUCCCUAGUCAAAAGAAGGUUUGAUUCUAUUUUUUAUAGUUCUGCAAAAACAAAGAUCAGGUAAGGAAUUCUGUUGACCGGGGAGAAGGUGUAAGGCAUUCCCGAGUCCUUUGGUUCUAGCACGGUCGCUUUAUUGACCACAUUUGGCUUAAAUUAAUUUUGGAUAAACGGUGAUUUAUUUGUCUUAGAUUACUAUUGUCUAUCACCGCUUAAUAAGUAAUCGAAUUUUAAUGAAUUCGGCCUAGGAGCGUGUAAGCACACAAAGUCUUUUUAUCACGUGUGUUUAAACCAAGGAACGAGUAUGAACACAUGGCUAAACACGGUUUAUUCAUGUGAAUGUCCGGAGUUAUGGAAUAACUGAGGAAAAUGGGUGAGCUUUGUAUUCAAAAAUCAGACCUAACACAUCCUUUAUUACCUACGGCCCAUUUCAAUUAAAAGCAAAUAAAACCAAUCUCGCGCAGUUCUACAAUUAUCACAAACGCCAAUCUCAUAUUAACAACCAACAAACAAUAUUCACUUGCCUUGAUAAUUAUUCAACUCAUGUUAUAUCACUAAAAUAAAGAGCUGAUAGUCCUAGGUUUAUUUGAGCACAAAACUAAAUUAUUAAAACAUUCAAGUAUGGUUACCAACUCAAGAUUAAGAGGCAUGGCAGAACAAUCCCAAAAUAAUUUGAAAGAAACACAUGAAUAUGAAGCAUUAUAACUUAACGAGAAAUGGGUGAGAAAUUGAACCUCAAAGCAAUAGCUCCUUCAAGUUAAACAAUGACGGCACAUAUACAAACCAAAAUUGGAACUCUCGACGUCGACGACGGGAACUCGACAGAAGCUCAAACGGACCUUGUCCGAUAUGGUUUUUGCGAUGUUUACCAGCUAAUUUUUUGGAGCUGUUUAAGGACGAUUUUCAUGGCUUUUCAGGGGUAAUUUCUGGGCUGUUUUGGGAGGGAAAAAAUAGGCAAUAGCUGCUGCGUUUUAGUCCGAGUUUCGGGACUAUUUGGUGCUGAUUUUCAGCUGAGUUUUAGAGGUUGUUUUGACUGAGAUUUGGGUUCAUUUUAGUGAUGUUUUGGUGGCUGAUUUGAAGACGUUUUUGGGGGUGUUUUGGAUGGCAUUUCACUGCUGAUUUUGACCCGCUUUCAUGGUGUUUUAUGGCCAGAAAAUAGGGGCUGGUUUAAAGGUGGCUUUUGACGAAGCUUUUCGGCUCUAAUGAGG
RNAcentral lists this long non-coding RNA (3130 nucleotides) under Nicotiana tabacum (common tobacco). RNAcentral's name for it is "long non-coding RNA (NTAB_LNC005171)". The record is from RNAcentral. Lineage: Eukaryota; Viridiplantae; Streptophyta; Magnoliopsida; Solanales; Solanaceae.